This 492-nucleotide ribosomal RNA is filed under the name uncultured bacterium. RNAcentral describes it as "partial 16S ribosomal RNA". It matches the Rfam family "Bacterial small subunit ribosomal RNA", at positions 29 to 507 of the family's 1533-position model. The record is from RNAcentral.
AGUGAACGCUGGCGGUAGGCCUAACACAUGCAAGUCGAACGGCAGCACAGUAAGAGCUUGCUCUUACGGGUGGCGAGUGGCGGACGGGUGAGGAAUACAUCGGAAUCUACUUUUUCGUGGGGGAUAACGUAGGGAAACUUACGCUAAUACCGCAUCCGACCUACGGGUGAAAGCAGGGGAUCUUCGGACCUUGCGCGAUUGAAUGAGCCGAUGUCGGAUUAGCUAGUUGGCGGGGUAAAGGCCCACCAAGGCGACGAUCCGUAGCUGGUCUGAGAGGAUGAUCAGCCACACUGGAACUGAGACACGGUCCAGACUCCUACGGGAGGCAGCAGUGGGGAAUAUUGGACAAUGGGCGCAAGCCUGAUCCAGCCAUACCGCGUGGGUGAAGAAGGCCUUCGGGUUGUAAAGCCCUUUUGUUGGGAAAGAAAAGCGGCAGGUUAAUACCCCGCUGUUCUGACGGUACCCAAAGAAUAAGCACCGGCUAACUUCGUG